Long non-coding RNA from Syngnathus acus (greater pipefish), 961 nucleotides. RefSeq lists it as uncharacterized. The transcript has 3 exons. Lineage: Eukaryota; Metazoa; Chordata; Actinopteri; Syngnathiformes; Syngnathidae. The record is from RefSeq and is a predicted model, not a curated record.
ACACACACAAAGCCUGCUGUGCGUGUCUGUCUUGCGUGGACGUUGUACAACAAGUGUCACGCAAGUGGGAUCUUGACUUCCUGAGCCGUGUCGAUGACCGGGUCCUCUCCCGCAUGACGACAUCCGACCCGCAUGACGACAUCAAGGUGGGGGAGAAGACCCUCUCCAAUCGAGACCCGUGAAGGUUGAGGGUGAACAUGCUGGGCGGAGACACGUCCAGCUUCAGUAGCAUGACGUUUUCAGCCUGCAAGCGCUGACCUGAUAUCUGGACGGGGCUCCUGUUGCCGUGGCGACGGCCGCUUGUGCAUGCUGGCUGAUUGGACGCUUGUAUCCCACGGCGGACAGAGGCCUUCGCUUCACUCGAGUGGCCGUGCUAGUGUGCACAUGUGGGCAAGUGAGUAUUUUGUUUUUCAUGGCAAAGUAAUACUAAAUGUUUGCAAAUCUUUCUCAGUGAAAUAGUUUCAUCCUAUUCUUGUGUCAUGGUCACAUUCAGUACGGGAUGCGGUUUUCUCCAUGGUACCUUUCCAAUGGGAUGACCGACAUCAGCCUCCACUGAUCUUCCUCGUCGUCAAAGUGAAGUCUGUUGAUCAGCUUCUUCUUUUCGGCAGGGGGGACAAAGUUCUCCAUCAAUAGGGAUCUGAAAAUAGGCACCCCCACCAAUUAGGUGCAGUUGAAGUCAUGGUCAUAUCUAGGUGGAGAACAUCCCAUAAUAAUUAUUACGUGAGCCGCAAUAAUAUCCGUCCUCACUUGAACUUGAGCUCUCGGGUGAGUUCAUCCUGCGUUUGCUCCAGUUCCUGCCUGGUCGCGACGUGCUCGUCCAUCACGUCACGCGUCUCGGCCCACACUAGCUGGAGUUUAGUGUACAGCUAAAUGUGCGCACGCCAGAGGAGACAACAGCAAAGUCAAGACUUGCAUCGACAGUAGUCAUGAAAUGGAAUCUGGAUGGGCCAAACAAGGAAAA